This 483-nucleotide long non-coding RNA is filed under the name Homo sapiens (human). RNAcentral describes it as "HSALNT0266801". Lineage: Eukaryota; Metazoa; Chordata; Mammalia; Primates; Hominidae. The record is from RNAcentral.
GUCGCCGCAGCCGGGGAGGCGCUACAGGCCCUGUGCCAGGAGCUGAACCUGGACGAGGGGAGCGCGGCCGAAGCCCUGGACGACUUUACUGCCAUCCGAGGCAACUACAGCCUAGAGGGAGAAGUUACACACUGGUUGGCAUGUUCAUUAUAUGUUGCAUGCCGCAAAAGCAUUAUUCCCACGGUUGGAAAGGGUAUCAUGGAAGGCAACUGUGUUUCACUUACCAGAAUACUACGUUCAGCUAAAUUAAGAUAUUAAAAGGAGAAUGCCUCCUGGACCUUUCAAGUUUUACUGAUAAUAGCAAAGCAGUGAAUAAGGAGUAUGAAGAGUAUGUUCUAACUGUUGGUGAUUUUGAUGAGAGGAUCUUUUUGGGAGCAGACGCAGAAGAGGAAAUUGGAACACCUCGAAAGUUCACUCGUGACACCCCAUUAGGGAAACUGACAGCACAGGCUAAUGUGGAGUAUAACCUUCAACAGCACUUUG